UUUUUUUUUUUUUUUUUUUUUGCAAAGUAUGACAUAAGAUCUUCUGAGAGGGACCUGGGGAGGUGCUGGAGGAAACAGGCCUGAGAAGAAUUCAGAAGAGUUGAAGAUCUUUUAUGGAGAAUGGGAGAGAUUCCAGGAAAUUCUAGAAGAGUGCUAUAGCUAAGAGAGCAAGAGCUAAAUGUGAAGCCCAUUAAUGUCUCCUACCUACCUUACUGUGUGAUCUCCAGGAAUUCUCACUGCCUGGAGAGGAGGAGAAAAUGCAAAAUGGUUCCUCUGGUUCCUCAGUGGCCACCACUGCCCCUUGGCAUAACUAAUGUUAGGCCUUUCAUAGCAAGGCCCUAUUUACCUUUCCUACUCACUCCUCAGCUCUACCAAGUUUCUUUUUCUCCCUUAAACAUCUUUAUACUUUUGUCUUUGUGAGUAUAGUUUCCUUCGAAUUCCCAAGUUUCCCCUGGGUAAUUUUUGUUUGUCCUUUAAAGAUUCCACUCAAACACUUUGUUUUGAAAAUGUGCCCCCAUUUCCUCAAAUAUUAGCUGUUGUGCUAAUCAUCAUGGUACCUUUUCUUAAAAGGCUACAAUCUUUGGAAUAAGACCGGGGUUCAAGAUGCAGCUGUCAUUUACUGUGUGAUCUUGAGCAAGAUAUUAGAACAUUCUUGUCCUUCAGCCUUCUCAUCUGUAAAAUGGGUACAAUGAUAAGACCUAUUUCAGAGAACUGUUUGAAAAGAUGAAGUGAAAUAAUGUACCCAAAGUACCGGGCAGUGGGAUUGGACAGCAAAGGAUGUUAUUAUUACACGACCUUGUACAUCUCCCAGUCUUGACAGAAAGUUCCUUAAAAAGCAGGUCUCGCAUCAUGCUCAUGUUUUCAUUCCCAAUAUUUGACACAGGAGCUGGGACGUGUAGAUUCUCCAGAACUGUGUAAUAAACUAAUGAUUAAUGGAAAGAAGUAAGUAGUUGAAGAUGCUACGAAGGUUAUGAGCUUCUUCCUGAGUUAGAAUUACAGCAAAGAAAGACCAAGGCUUGGGGAUGCACCCGUAUUAGCUUCAGGAAUCCAAACAGGAGAAAUUUUCUCCAAGAAAAUAAGAGUGCACACAGAGCAGAAGCUGAAAAGUCGUUAUGCUCGAGGGCAAAACCGACGUGGACCUUGUCCUCGCGGAGCUUACAGUCGGCUACGCUGUCCUAGCACAAUACCCAAGACAGGCUUACAACCAAGACCUCUCUCCUGGGGAGGGAAGGAGGGAGGAAGGGAGGGAGGAGGCAAGGUCCCCCUUUGGCUUAUCACUCAGAGCUGCCCAGCUUGGCCACCUGAUGGAGAGAGUAAAACCAGGUGCCAAGGCAGGAUGGAGGAGAGGAUGGGGGGCAGCAUCCACUGUUACUUGGGGGCACUGGAAGAUGUUGACCCCUGGCAAAGCACAAGGCCAGGCCCUGGGAAGGGCAAGGCUGGCCUCAUGGCUGUCGACCGGCAGGGCAUUGGGCCUGUGGAGAACACCUACCCCAAUCCUUUUGCUGACCCAGACCUCUCC
Molecule: long non-coding RNA, 1519 nt
Filed under: Canis lupus familiaris (dog)
Lineage: Eukaryota; Metazoa; Chordata; Mammalia; Carnivora; Canidae
Description: lncRNA (ENSCAFG00000056471.1)
Source: RNAcentral